UGGUUUAGCAAGGUCAUCGGAUUGGUACCAUUGUGGCCAUUCUGUGGCUCGACCGGUGCCGAGAAGACGACCGAACUUGAUCAUUUAGAGGAAGUAAAAGUCGUAACAAGGUUUCCGUAGGUGAACCUGCGGAAGGAUCAUUA
RNAcentral lists this ribosomal RNA (143 nucleotides) under Capitimitta darwinensis. RNAcentral's name for it is "partial 18S ribosomal RNA". It matches the Rfam family "Eukaryotic small subunit ribosomal RNA", at positions 1694 to 1831 of the family's 1831-position model. The record is from RNAcentral. Lineage: Eukaryota; Metazoa; Platyhelminthes; Trematoda; Plagiorchiida; Haploporidae.